CAAACCGACACAGGUGGUCAGGUAGAGAAUACCAAGGCGCUUGAGAGAACUCGGGUGAAGGAACUAGGCAAAAUGGUGCCGUAACUUCGGGAGAAGGCACGCUGACACGUAGGUGAAGUGAUUUACUCAUGGAGCUGAAGUCAGUCGAAGAUACCAGCUGGCUGCAACUGUUUAUUAAAAACACAGCACUGUGCAAACACGAAAGUGGACGUAUACGGUGUGACGCCUGCCCGGUGCCGGAAGGUUAAUUGAUGGGGUCAGCGUAAGCGAAGCUCCUGAUCGAAGCCCCGGUAAACGGCGGCCGUAACUAUAACGGUCCUAAGGUAGCGAAAUUCCUUGUCGGGUAAGUUCCGACCUGCACGAAUGGCGUAAUGAUGGCCAGGCUGUCUCCACCCGAGACUCAGUGAAAUUGAACUCGCUGUGAAGAUGCAGUGUACCCGCGGCAAGACGGAAAGACCCCGUGAACCUUUACUAUAGCUUGACACUGAACAUUGAGCCUUGAUGUGUAGGAUAGGUGGGAGGCUUUGAAGUGUGGACGCCAGUCUGCAUGGAGCCGACCUUGAAAUACCACCCUUUAAUGUUUGAUGUUCUAACGUGGACCCGUAAUCCGGGUUGCGGACAGUGUCUGGUGGGUAGUUUGACUGGGGCGGUCUCCUCCUAAAGAGUAACGGAGGAGCACGAAGGUUGGCUAAUCCUGGUCGGACAUCAGGAGGUUAGUGCAAUGGCAUAAGCCAGCUUGACUGCGAGCGUGACGGCGCGAGCAGGUGCGAAAGCAGGUCAUAGUGAUCCGGUGGUUCUGAAUGGAAGGGCCAUCGCUCAACGGAUAAAAGGUACUCCGGGGAUAACAGGCUGAUACCGCCCAAGAGUUCAUAUCGACGGCGGUGUUUGGCACCUCGAUGUCGGCUCAUCACAUCCUGGGGCUGAAGUAGGUCCCAAGGGUAUGGCUGUUCGCCAUUUAAAGUGGUACGCGAGCUGGGUUUAGAACGUCGUGAGACAGUUCGGUCCCUAUCUGCCGUGGGCGCUGGAGAACUGAGGGGGGCUGCUCCUAGUACGAGAGGACCGGAGUGGACGCAUCACUGGUGUUCGGGUUGUCAUGCCAAUGGCACUGCCCGGUAGCUAAAUGCGGAAGAGAUAAGUGCUGAAAGCAUCUAAGCACGAAACUUGCCCCGAGAUGAGUUCUCCCUGAGACUUAGAGUCUCCUGAAGGAACGUUGAAGACGACGACGUUGAUAGGCCGGGUGUGUAAGCGCAGCGAUGCGUUGAGCUAACCGGUACUAAUGAACCGUGAGGCUUAACCUUACA
RNAcentral lists this ribosomal RNA (1301 nucleotides) under Salmonella enterica. RNAcentral's name for it is "partial 23S ribosomal RNA". It matches the Rfam family "Bacterial large subunit ribosomal RNA", at positions 1649 to 2925 of the family's 2925-position model. Lineage: Bacteria; Pseudomonadati; Pseudomonadota; Gammaproteobacteria; Enterobacterales; Enterobacteriaceae. The record is from RNAcentral.